UUGGUCGAAGGUACGGAAGACGGCGGGAGAUACAAAAACGUUAUGGAGGAGAGAAACAAAAACAGAGCGUGAGACGCUGGGAAAAUGAAUGAAAAUGUUUUUUGGACGAGGACUUCAUCUCCGCUGCCUGCUGGUUUCAUCUGUAGGACCCCACACUGUUCAUCCAGGAAUGACACUCCACGUCGAGCCUUGGAGAGCCCUGCUCCACGACAAACCACCACGCUGGCAUCAGAUGUCAGCUUCGUUGAGGUGGUGGAAGAGGAGGAGCUGGAGCUGUAAGCACCGCCCACUUUGGAGGUCUUGGUGACAGUUUCGACCAACACAGAGGAGGUCUCAUGGAGGCUGUGUCCCCCUGAGAGCCGGGCUCCUGUAGCAGAAACAGAGAGACGUUAUCUAAUGUCAUCAAGACUCAGUCUGUGAUACUAGAGAACAAAAUGAAAAAUAUUUCAUACCACUUUCCAAUAAAGUGAAUUUCCUAGACUCAUGGGAGUUUUUCUUACUCUUGAAAGUAUUUUAUGUCGCAUUAAUAA
Long non-coding RNA from Trematomus bernacchii (emerald rockcod), 530 nucleotides. RefSeq lists it as uncharacterized. The record is from RefSeq and is a predicted model, not a curated record. Lineage: Eukaryota; Metazoa; Chordata; Actinopteri; Perciformes; Nototheniidae. The transcript is spliced from 3 exons.